AACUCAUAAAAGUAGCAGUAUCUUAGCUUAUAAGGUUUAACCGGGGUGCAAUUAUUGCUGAUUGAAAACUUUACCCAGUAACCCACGAUGCUGACUUGAAAUAGAGUCAGUCAUGGCAAUUUUUGAGAGUCUCAGUAGAGA
Molecule: small nuclear RNA, 141 nt
Organism: Stegostoma tigrinum
Lineage: Eukaryota; Metazoa; Chordata; Chondrichthyes; Orectolobiformes; Stegostomatidae
Product: U4 spliceosomal RNA
Exons: 1
Source: RefSeq, a predicted model, not a curated record